Long non-coding RNA from Cyprinodon variegatus (sheepshead minnow), 1141 nucleotides. RefSeq lists it as uncharacterized. Lineage: Eukaryota; Metazoa; Chordata; Actinopteri; Cyprinodontiformes; Cyprinodontidae. The record is from RefSeq and is a predicted model, not a curated record. The transcript has 3 exons.
CAGGAGAAGCGCCCUUCCAGGAGCUCCGAGGAUCGGGACCGGAGCGCAGCGCAGCGCUCUGACAGGAGGAGAGCUUCAGCAGAACCUUCCUGGUUCUGAUCCAUUCCUGACUAGAGCAGAGGCUGGGGGCUGGAUCGGACCUGGAGCGGUUCUCCACCAGGAUCCAAACAGAAGAACUGAUGGAUCACCUGGUUGCAGGCAGAGAGAAGCAUCUGAUGGAUCUCUAGGAGGGUUCCAGGAGCAGCUUCCUCAGAGGAAAGAUGACUUUCUCUUUCACCUGGAAGCUUUUCUGUCUUCUGCUGGAAAAUUGCCAGUUUCAGUAUCAAUAAGAAGUGAGAAGAAAGCAGAGGAUCAGAGCAGGAGGAGUGGAGAGUUCUGGGUCCGGGAAUCACUCCACUUUUCUCCUGCUGGAUGGUAUUUCUCCGCUCCGGGUGGGGGGGCAGGAGGAUGGAGGGAUGAAGCAGAAAGAGAGAGGAGACCGAACCGGAGAAGGAUGUAGGCGCUGGAAGCCGAGAGGACGCACCCCUCCGAAAGAAGCCGAAUCUGAACUGUAAACCCGAGCGGAAUUAAGUCACCUAAAGGAUAUGAUCGGCUGGACCGGCAGCAUCAGCAUCAGCAGCACAUCAGGAGGAUAUAGUUGGAUUGGAGCAUGUGGAGUUUCUACUGCAGCGUCAGGAUGAAGGGACCUGGAGGGAGAACUAGGAGCUGAAGAGAGUGUGAAAUAUCUGCCGGAGGAUCUCUGACCUGCAGCUUGAUCCAUGAUCCUUUGUAACAUGUGAAUCCUGAAACAAUGCGUGGUAUGCUAAAACGUCACUGAAGGUGUUCGACCCGCUGAGGAUGCUAACCAUGGAGAGGCUGUUGCUCUGCAUGAUGCUGGCGGUUUCCAUGGCGGUGCGGGCGCAGAUCUGUCCGAAGCGCUGCGUCUGCCAAAUCCUGUCACCUAACCUGGCGACGCUGUGCGCAAAGAAGGGUCUGCUGUUUGUUCCGCCGAACAUCGACAGGCACACGGUGGAGCUACGGCUGGCCGAUAACUUUGUUACAAGGUGAUAAACGCUUGAGUGCCGAUUAGAUUCAAUUCUAUUCAGUUUAUUUCUAUAGCUCCAAUUCACAUCAUGUCGUCUCAAGGCUCUUUCCAGUUCAC